This 73-nucleotide transfer RNA is filed under the name Diaphorina citri (Asian citrus psyllid). It matches the Rfam family "tRNA". Rfam says of the family: Transfer RNA (tRNA) molecules are approximately 80 nucleotides in length. Their secondary structure includes four short double-helical elements and three loops (D, anti-codon, and T loops). Lineage: Eukaryota; Metazoa; Arthropoda; Insecta; Hemiptera; Psyllidae. The record is from Rfam by way of RNAcentral.
GCCUAGUUAGCUCGAUUGGUGGCGCGCCUGCCUUGUAAGCGCUAGGCCGCGGGUUCGAUUCCCGCCCGGGGCG